GCCAUCUUUGGAUAGCUUCAGUGAACAUUCAACGCUGUCGGUGAGUUUGAGAACUAAGAAAAACCAUCGACCGUUGACUGUACCUUGAGGU
This is a microRNA precursor of Chrysolophus pictus (golden pheasant), 91 nucleotides long. Lineage: Eukaryota; Metazoa; Chordata; Aves; Galliformes; Phasianidae. The record is from Ensembl.